This 1068-nucleotide ribosomal RNA is filed under the name Triticum aestivum (bread wheat). RNAcentral's name for it is "partial small subunit ribosomal RNA". Lineage: Eukaryota; Viridiplantae; Streptophyta; Magnoliopsida; Poales; Poaceae. The record is from RNAcentral.
AUGACGAACAAGAAGCCUACUUGGUCCUCCUCGGCGUCCGCCUGCUCCGGGGGCUCCCGCAUUGGGUUAUCCUGCGCGGUGACGAACCAGAAGAGGAAGAAGAGGGCCAGGAGCGACGCCGUCGUUCUCCCGUCGAGGGGGUCGUCCGUCUACAGAGGCGUGAGCAGGCACUGCGCCUCGGGGAAGUACGAGGUGCACCUGUGGGACAGGCAUUACCGGAGCACGGUUCAGAACAGGAGAGGCAGGCAAGGAGCUUAUGACACCGAAGAGGCUGCAGCUCGCACCUAUGACCUCGCGGCGCUCAAGUACUGGGGUGCACAGUGCGGCGGCCUCCUCCUUAACUUCCCAGUGGACACGUACAAGGACGAGCUGGAGAGGAUGCAACGCGUGACCAGAGAGGAGUACGUGGCCAUACUCAGGCGCGACAGCAGUGGCUUCGCCAGAGGCGCCUCCAAGUACAGGGGAGUAGCAAAGCAUCACAAGAAGGGCCGGUGGGAGGCGAGGAUAGGCUGCGGUAGCGGCAGCGGCGGCGGCAGCAAGAGAUACCUCUACUUGGGGAUAUUCAGUGUGUUCUCUAUCGCUCUGUCCUUGCAAGUUCGCUCUAUCACGUUUCUGUGGCUCAUCACAAGAAACGGCACUCUCAAUCUGCAUGCAGUUACCCAGGAAGAGGCGGCCCGGGCGUACGACCUCGCGGCGAUACAACUCCGGGGCCUCGCCGCGGUCACCAACUUCGACGUCGAUUCCUACUGCGUGGACCAGCAGCUGCAGCCGCCCCUCUGCAAGGUCGACUUAGACCCGGAACCGGCAGGGCAACUGUUGCUGCCCAAGGUCGAGCCCAAGGAGGAAGAGCCCGAGCCCGUGCCGGUGCUCCAGGACGACGUCGACUGCGCCAUCGCCGAGGUGCUGCAGGCGCUCUGCAUGGACCGCGCCGACUUCGAGGCCAGGUACCCGCCCCGCGGCGCUCCCGGACGGUGGCCGUCUGACGACGACCUGCGCGAGCUGCCGGCUGACAUGGGCUUCGAGGACGACAUCGAGAGCGUGCUCUUCGACGCGCCGCCCGCCGCCUGA